RNAcentral lists this ribosomal RNA (467 nucleotides) under uncultured bacterium. Its description in RNAcentral is "partial 16S ribosomal RNA". It matches the Rfam family "Bacterial small subunit ribosomal RNA", at positions 28 to 507 of the family's 1533-position model. The record is from RNAcentral.
GACGAACGCUGGCGGCGUGCUUAACACAUGCAAGUCGAACGGAAAGGCCCUGCUUUUGUGGGGUGCUCGAGUGGCGAACGGGUGAGUAACACGUGAGUAACCUGCCCUUGACUUUGGGAUAACUUCAGGAAACUGGGGCUAAUACCGGAUAGGAGCUCCUGCUGCAUGGUGGGGGUUGGAAAGUUUCGGCGGUUGGGGAUGGACUCGCGGCUUAUCAGCUUGUUGGUGGGGUAGUGGCUUACCAAGGCUUUGACGGGUAGCCGGCCUGAGAGGGUGACCGGCCAAUUGGGGAUUGAGGUACGGCCAAGAUCCCACAGGGAGCAGGGAGGGGGGAAAUUUCCCAAUUGGGCGGAGCCCUGAUGAAGAAACGCCGCUGGAGGGAGGCCGCCUUUGGGGUUGUAACCCGCUUUGGCUGGUGCGGAAGCUUAGGUGCCGGAAUUGGUAAAGAAGCACCGGCUAACUACGUG